AUAUAUUUAAUUGUUUACCAUUUUCGUUAUGACACCACACGGCUUCUUGCUAGAAAUCAACACCACACGUGAAAAUGACUGGUACAAACCAAAUGACUUGCCGCAAAAGGUUAGUCAAUAACGAAUAAUAUAAGUUUGUUGGGCUGGCGAAAAACAACCUCAAACCGCAGCGCAGCAUUCACAGGCUAGAGUCGGAAGGUGAAUGACAUAACUUUGCCACCCCCUAUGUCCCGACAGUGAGCUGAGACAUAUUGAGGAAGCUACUGCUGAUGAAGAUCAUUAUGUUUUAAUGGUAGUUACUGUUUACGAGGCUGAUAAGUUAGCUAUGGACAACAACAUAUACCAAAUAUUGAGAACACUAAUAGCCUCACAGGGACAACCUCAAGUAGAACAACAUAUUACAAUGACUUCCCAAGCCUUGACAGCUCAUCAGCAAAGGGUCUUCUCUGACAUUUCCAUUCCUUGUCCACCACGGAGCGCUCAGUCACUGCAGAAGCGGGCACUAUGGAGGUCCAGGCACAUCUUCUUCUUCACUCCUCAGGUGUUGGUGAAUGACCUGUCUCGAGACACCUGCCCCACGCUGCUAGUCAGAAUGUUGACCCGGAGUCAUACAAAAUUGUGUGUUUCUCUACUCCAAUGAUUAAUCCACGGAUAAAAGGGGAAACCUAGUUAGUUUUUAGUUCUCUUUGAUGAAUCUCUCCUGGGUUUGUAUGCUCGUAUUAAAGGAACCCUGCAUUAAAGGAGUGGCCUCCCUUUUGACCCUGGGACAUGACAUUU
Long non-coding RNA from Oncorhynchus kisutch (coho salmon), 777 nucleotides. RefSeq lists it as uncharacterized. NCBI's taxonomy places the organism in Eukaryota, Metazoa, Chordata, Actinopteri, Salmoniformes, Salmonidae. The record is from RefSeq and is a predicted model, not a curated record. The transcript is spliced from 3 exons.